AUUGAACGCUGGCGGCAGGCCUAACACAUGCAAGUCGAGCGGAUGAAGGGAGCUUGCUCCUGGAUUCAGCGGCGGACGGGUGAGUAAUGCCUAGGAAUCUGCCUGGUAGUGGGGGAUAACGUCCGGAAACGGGCGCUAAUACCGCAUACGUCCUGAGGGAGAAAGUGGGGGAUCUUCGGACCUCACGCUAUCAGAUGAGCCUAGGUCGGAUUAGCUAGUUGGUGGGGUAAAGGCCUACCAAGGCGACGAUCCGUAACUGGUCUGAGAGGAUGAUCAGUCACACUGGAACUGAGACACGGUCCAGACUCCUACGGGAGGCAGCAGUGGGGAAUAUUGGACAAUGGGCGAAAGCCUGAUCCAGACAUGCCGCGUGUGUGAAGAAGGUCCUCGGAUUGUAAAGCACUUUAAGUUGGGAGGAAGGGCAGUAAGUUAAUACCUUGCUGUUUUGACGUUACCAACAGAAUAAGCACCGGCUAACUUCGUG
This 484-nucleotide ribosomal RNA is filed under the name uncultured bacterium. RNAcentral's name for it is "partial 16S ribosomal RNA". It matches the Rfam family "Bacterial small subunit ribosomal RNA", at positions 30 to 507 of the family's 1533-position model. The record is from RNAcentral.